This 496-nucleotide ribosomal RNA is filed under the name uncultured bacterium. RNAcentral describes it as "partial 16S ribosomal RNA". It matches the Rfam family "Bacterial small subunit ribosomal RNA", at positions 28 to 506 of the family's 1533-position model. The record is from RNAcentral.
GAUGAACGCUGGCGGCGUGCCUAAUGCAUGCAAGUCGAGCGAACAGACGAGGAGCUUGCUCCUUCGACGUUAGCGGCGGACGGGUGAGUAACACGUAGGUAACCUACCUAUAAGACUGGGAUAACUUCGGGAAACCGGAGCUAAUACCGGAUAAUAUUUCGAACCGCAUGGUUCGAUAGUGAAAGAUGGCUUUGCUAUCACUUAUAGAUGGACCUGCGCCGUAUUAGCUAGUUGGUAAGGUAACGGCUUACCAAGGCAACGAUACGUAGCCGACCUGAGAGGGUGAUCGGCCACACUGGAACUGAGACACGGUCCAGACUCCUACGGGAGGCAGCAGUAGGGAAUCUUCCGCAAUGGGCGAAAGCCUGACGGAGCAACGCCGCGUGAGUGAUGAAGGUCUUCGGAUCGUAAAACUCUGUUAUUAGGGAAGAACAAACGUGUAAGUAACUGUGCACGUCUUGACGGUACCUAAGCAGAAAGCCACGGCUAACUACGU